Non-coding RNA from Pelobates cultripes (western spadefoot toad), 288 nucleotides. Lineage: Eukaryota; Metazoa; Chordata; Amphibia; Anura; Pelobatidae. The record is from the annotation of a GenBank genome assembly.
CGAGGGUAGGACAGGAGCGGCACAGCCGCCACUGGAACUUUGUCGACAACAUUCUGUGUGUGUUUGCGUCAGAAACCAAUUUUACACAGAAUUGAUAUUAACCAGCCUGGAACUGUGUAAUGACACUGCCAGAGUUGAUCUCUGUAUGAUGCUGCACAUACAGACUGCAGGCACCUUGACCACUUCAAAUCACUGAAGUGGUUAUGGUACUUGGAGUAACCCGUUAAUAUUAAAGUUUACUAUGGGCUGAAAAAUGGUGGCAUGAAUUAGGAUAAUGACAGAACUGGC